Long non-coding RNA from Ailuropoda melanoleuca (giant panda), 1397 nucleotides. RefSeq lists it as uncharacterized. NCBI's taxonomy places the organism in Eukaryota, Metazoa, Chordata, Mammalia, Carnivora, Ursidae. The transcript is spliced from 6 exons. The record is from RefSeq and is a predicted model, not a curated record.
GUGCUCAAAGAUUAUCCAGUUUAUUGAAAUGAGAUCAUUUUCCCGAUUAUAUUACUUUUCUAUGACACUAGGGUUUUUUUCUUUUUUGGUGACUUUUGGCGUUUCCGCCGGUUUACACUUAAUAACCCACUUCUUUCUAGGAUAUGACCGUUUUAUGCGCUCUAGGAGCGCCUGGCUGGCUCAGUCGGAGGAAGAGCGUGGACGUCUUCAUCUUGGGGUCGUGAGUUCCAGCCCCAUGUUGGUAGAGAUUACCUCCGGACCCCACCCCACCAAACCUCAACUAUAUUUCAAAACCACAUCAUUUGGCGCCUGAACGUGGGGCUUCCGAGUCUUUUCAUCCGGACUCUGAGCUUUGGUGCAAACUUGGACAGCCACCUAAGUCACCAGGACGGCUGCCAAUCUUAAAGACUACCAGGACCCUCCCUUGGGGUGCCUUUUAACCCCCUGGAAACAAUUCAGAUUGCAAAACUUAGGAAAGGACUGAGCUUCUGUAACACUGCAUGGCCUCAGUGGAAUCAAUCAGAUCUCCUCUGCAGGAAAUAGGGCGAAUGAACCUCAGGAAUACAUGGCGUCUGCUCCUCUGUUGGAGAUGAUGAGCUCUGCAACUGGGAACCCUUUCUCUGCCUUUGGCAGCCCUUCGCCUCUUCUGCCUCCCCUUCUCCCACCUCCUGUUUCUGCACCACCUUGGGUGUGGGCUUCGUAACUGGCUUCUAUACAUCCUCCAUGCCUCAACCAUGGCUCCUCCCUUCGCUGUCAAGGGGCAAGAAGAGCACCUCCUGGGCCUAACACCGCCUACUCCAGAUCUCCCCACCAGUGUCUCAGGACACACCACUCUUCUAACCAAGGACUCACCACUGGGCACAGAGGCCUAACGGAAUGCAGGCUGAAGAGAAAGGACAGUCACCUUGACAUAUCGUGUAUAAUUUUUAAAGCCACAAUUCAACUCUUGUCCUUGGGCAGGGAGUUUGUGAAGUAUGGUUCUGAACAGCAGAAUAUUGCCUACAGUAGAGGAAAACUGUGAUGCUGGAAGGAGUGAACGCGUUUGAGUAUCUACUAUACGUGGUCUUCUUUGUAACUAGCUGUGUGACCUCUGAAAAGUGACUUGAACUCCUUUGCCUCGGAAUCCCCUUUAUAAAAUGGACAAUAGCGUCCACCUGAAGGAACUGUUAUGAUAUCAACAUUGCAGAGAACUUGGCAAAUGUUCAGUAUACACUAUUGCAAAGGAAAAUAUUCCUAUUCUGACAAAUAUUAAACUUGCACACUACAUCUAUGAAGUCUUGUACAGAUCCCUACCUUCGUUCACCCAACCCCAUUCAUCUUCUCUACGCAUAAGCUGAACUUAUUUGUUCAUUUGUAGAUUUGAAACGAGCUACCGUAGCAACUGGGGGAAAAAAAAA